This 374-nucleotide ribosomal RNA is filed under the name uncultured bacterium. Its description in RNAcentral is "bacterial SSU rRNA". It matches the Rfam family "Bacterial small subunit ribosomal RNA", at positions 28 to 404 of the family's 1533-position model. The record is from RNAcentral.
GACGAACGCUGGCGGCGUGCUUAACACAUGCAAGUCGAGCGGUAAGGCCCUUUCGGGGGUACACGAGCGGCGAACGGGUGAGUAACACGUGGGUGACCUGCCCUCAGCUCUGGGAUAAGCCUGGGAAACCGGGUCUAAUACCGGAUAUGACUCCAUGACGCAUGUUGUGGGGUGGAAAGCCUUGUGCGGCUGAGGAUGGGCCCGCGGCCUAUCAGCUUGUUGGUGGGGGAUGGCCUACCAAGGCGACGACGGGUAGCCGGCCUGAGAGGGCGACCGGCCACACUGGGACUGAGACACGGCCCAGACUCCUACGGGAGGCAGCAGUGGGGAAUCUUGCGCAAUGGGCGAAAGCCUGACGCAGCGACGCCGCGUGA